This 464-nucleotide ribosomal RNA is filed under the name uncultured bacterium. RNAcentral's name for it is "partial 16S ribosomal RNA". It matches the Rfam family "Bacterial small subunit ribosomal RNA", at positions 339 to 795 of the family's 1533-position model. The record is from RNAcentral.
CUACGGGUGGCUGCAGUGGGGAAUAUUGCACAAUGGGCGCAAGCCUGAUGCAGCCAUGCCGCGUGUAUGAAGAAGGCCUUCGGGUUGUAAAGUACUUUCAGCGGGGAGGAAGGGAGUAAAGUUAAUACCUUUGCUCAUUGACGUUACCCGCAGAAGAAGCACCGGCUAACUCCGUGCCAGCAGCCGCGGUAAUACGGAGGGUGCAAGCGUUAAUCGGCAUUACUGGGCGUAAAGCGCACGCAGGCGGUUUGUUAAGUCAGAUGUGAAAUCCCCGGGCUCAACCUGGGAACUGCAUCUGAUACUGGCAAGCUUGAGUCUCGCAGAGGGGGGUAGAAUUCCAGGUGUAGCGGUGAAAUGCGUAGAGAUCUGGAGGAAUACCGGUGGCGAAGGCGGCCCCCUGGACGAAGACUGACGCUCAGGUGCGAAAGCGUGGGGAGCAAACAGGAUUAGAUACCCUAGUAGUC